This is a non-coding RNA of Leptonychotes weddellii (Weddell seal), 768 nucleotides long. The record is from RefSeq and is a predicted model, not a curated record. NCBI's taxonomy places the organism in Eukaryota, Metazoa, Chordata, Mammalia, Carnivora, Phocidae.
AGAGACUGACAUAGCCAAAAGCGAUGAAAAGACCACCUUACCUACCACAUACAACAACCAGGAAAAUCAAAGAGUCUCAGAUGCAGUGGAUCUUUUAGAUCUGAUUCCUCAACCCAACUCUGAAAAGCCAUACAGUCAAGAAGCCAUAAAUGAUUCUGAAGACAAAAGGGUGGAAGAGCAACAGAUAAAUUAGACCAACUAUAAAGAUAUUUGGUGGUGUAAUAAAUAUGGAAAGACCCAUGAAUGCCUGUAUUUAGGGAAGAAUAGUUUGCAAGAUUGACUUCCAUCUUAGAUAAUGUUAUGCUAGACAAUAAUGUGACUGCACACACACAAAAAGAUUGAGUUCAAUCAUUUUGUAUUACCUGAAUCCCCUCAUAGGUUUGCUUUUUGUCCUAUUUUCUCAUAUAGUUUGGUGUCAAUUGCUGUUUUUUUAAACUACAUUAAAAUACAAUGGUCAGUCAUUGCAUCCUUGCCUGUGCAUGCUUCUAAGAGAGCCUGCUUCCCCCCACAGGCCAUACCUAAGGCAUGGACAUGAGUGGCCAUGUUUGCUCGGCUGUUCUUACCACCUUGGCUUCAACUGAUUGGACUAGAAUAAAUACACCUUACUCAAGGGGAACCAAUAGAUUUUCUCUCACAGUGUCAAAAACUUGCACUGAGAAAAAUGGCUGAGUAAGUUGGUGUCUGGAUCAUGGUAAAGGGAGUGACUUAGAGAGAGCUGCACAGUUCUGCUGUGAGGUCUUCAGAGCUAGUCAGGUUCACCAGCUUCAU